Molecule: ribosomal RNA, 301 nt
Filed under: uncultured bacterium
Lineage: Bacteria
Description: partial 16S ribosomal RNA
Rfam family: Bacterial small subunit ribosomal RNA
Source: RNAcentral
CAGCCGCCGCGGGAAUACGGAGGGGGCUAGCGUUGUUCGGAAUUACUGGGCGUAAAGCGCACGUAGGCGGCUAUUCAAGUCAGGGGUGAAAGCCCGGGGCUCAACCUCGGAACUGCCUUUGAAACUAGAUAGCUAGAAUCUUGGAGAGGCGAGUGGAAUUCCGAGUGUAGAGGUGAAAUUCGUAGAUAUUCGGAAGAACACCAGUGGCGAAGGCGACUCGCUGGACAAGUAUUGACGCUGAGGUGCGAAAGCGUGGGGAGCAAACAGGAUUAGAUACCCCCGUAGUCCCUGUCUCUUAUAC